Papaver somniferum (opium poppy) is the source of this 2316-nucleotide long non-coding RNA. RefSeq lists it as uncharacterized. The record is from RefSeq and is a predicted model, not a curated record. The transcript has 3 exons. Lineage: Eukaryota; Viridiplantae; Streptophyta; Magnoliopsida; Ranunculales; Papaveraceae.
UCCGCCUCAAUACGCCUCACUGUAAUCUCUCUGAUGUUCAUUUAAUAGCUUAGUCUGUAUGUUUUGAUUAUGAAUUGUUGAUCAGCCCCAUUGUUACUUGAAAAUGGAAUUAUGAUUUUCGUGAUUCUCAUUGUAUGUAUCCUGCAUAUUCAGAACUAUUCAUUUGUCUUGAUCAGAAGAACUAUUCAUUUGUCAUGUAAGUCAUUUACAUGGACUAAAUUCUGGAAUCUGCCAUGAAGGAUUAAUGUAUGUUUGGUUGUUAUCUCAUUGUCAUGAACUUAUCAGAAACCUUCUUAGUCAGUUGUUGUGUCUUGGUUUAAGUUAGUGGAAGCAUCAAACUAAGCAGUUGUUUUCUAUAGCAAAUGCUGUUCACAUGUGCAUAUUGCCGAUGGAGAAUAUAAAAAUGCAAUUGAAAGUGGUAGUCGAAAUGAAUCACCUCAUUGUUCAGAAACUAUCCAUGCCAAACCUGAUGGUAAGUGAAUCACCUCAUUUUUCUUGUGGUCAAAGGAGUUCAGUAAAAAUAGUCAUUAUUCAGAAACUUGUUACCUGGAUCUGCAAGCUUUCUCAAAUGUUGGGAGAGUUCUAUUUAUCUUGUUAAUGUCCAUAAGCAUGAAAUUCACAAUGGGCAGCUGAGCUUUAGGGGAAACGUGUACUUGAGUUUCUCAACUAGGUGUCGUGUACUGUGGAAAUGAUCUACCUGUAUGUUGACUGUUACAGCACAAUUGCGGCUACGGACUAUCGGGGAUCUUAGCUUCCUUAAAGGGAGUUUCAGAGGUGCGUUUUCAGGAUCCGAAUGCGGAAACAGUAAGAUGUUCAACCAUACAUGAGUGUGCUUGCAAUCUCAUCCUUUAUUUUCUUGCAAAUCUAAUUACAGGCUACCAUAAUCUAAUUUCAAUGGGCUUGAUGUACACUGUAGUGAUUUAUUUUGUAUAUACUUGGGGGUUGAAUUUAUCAAUCAGGCACCAGUUUCUGUGAUAACUAACAUUAUUUAUGUUUCCAUUCCGUCAUUAACUACACCCAACCUAAUUGUUGCUACUUUUCCACCUCCGUGGGAAGGACAGUGAGCCAGUUACCUUGCAGGCUACAACCAGGAUUCAGACCAAUGAUUCUGUUGUUGAGUAGGAUUUUGACAUCUUGAGUUUGCACUUAAAGUGUGGUUAGUCGCACACUUAAUGCCUACUUCCACAGCUGCAUCAAUUUUCCAUUUGUUUUAUUCUGAUCCAGUUAGAUCUCAAGGUGCAUCUUUUCAGUCUGAUGAUAACAAUGGCAUUGAAAUAUAUUUAAGCUUUAUUCAGUACCCAACACUAGCUCAGUUGCAUUAACUCCGUAAACAGUCAUUACUACUAAUAGUCUAAAAUGGUUAUUGAUGUCUCAUUCUUUGUUUCUCACUAGCAUUUUUAAUUUCCCCAUACUUGGCAUCUUGAGAGAUCCUAGUGAAUAUUGCUCAGUUAAUGCUUUGCUCGUUUUUUGUCAACUGACAGCUCUCAUGUGAAAUAUCUUUUGUAGCUCUCCGAAGAGAUACAGAACAACAGCUUUUCACUAUUUUAGAACCUUAGGUCAUCAAUGGCUUGCAUAUAAAACCUCUGGUACAUCUGGUAAAGUAUCCUUAACUCACAGUGUCAUCAGCUGGACAUGCUUUGCUUGCUUUCAUACAUGGUCAGCUUCCAGGGGAAAAAGCUUUUGAAGCUGUCGGAGGAGAUACCCAAUAAUAGCCUUUCCCUGUUUUAAACCCAUAAGUCAUUUUGGCAUAUAUAGCCUCUGGUGCUUCUGGUCACUGUAGUAAUACUGUCAUUUCUUGAUGUUGUCAAAGAAUAAUAGGGUCUCUAGGGAUGAAGAUUCUGAUGUUGACUAUUUCCUAAGAAGUGAAGCAAGUCUGUGUUUGAUAAUCUCCCUGCUAGGAUUCAAUUGGCUUUACAUGAUCUAAAUCAAGUUCAAAUUGAGUUUGACAAUGACCCAUCUUAUUUUUCUAGAAAAAAUUCUAGUGUUUUAUGUUUUAACUGCUAUGACCAAGACAAUGCAGCUGGUAUACAGGUCAAUGUAACCUUUCCCAGCAACUCCAACCAUGAUAUGUAAAAAUGUACAAAACCAGUAGUAACUCUACCGUGUACAUUGUUUCUUCCUAUGCCGGUAAAAGAGAGAUGUCCAGUAGCGGAUCGGUAAUGAAGCAACUCCAACAAUGCUGAAUUCCCUCAUCUACAAACUCCCAUAGUACAGAUUAAGGACGACCGGAAUCAGUAAAAAAGAUUUUAAGCUUACACACCACUGGAUGGUAGUGUAGGGGAUUACAAACCAAAACCUCCAAGGAACAGGUCCAAG